Portunus trituberculatus (swimming crab) is the source of this 695-nucleotide long non-coding RNA. RefSeq lists it as uncharacterized. The transcript has 5 exons. The record is from RefSeq and is a predicted model, not a curated record. NCBI's taxonomy places the organism in Eukaryota, Metazoa, Arthropoda, Malacostraca, Decapoda, Portunidae.
UCGAGUCGAGGUCUCCGGUAACGUAGGAUCUACGUUGCGCCUCCUCGAUAUUUUAAGUCAUUUUUUUUACCCUUUUUUUGAGUGCUAAUGCAUGGAGAGGCGUCCUGGUGAGUCUGCGCGAGUGCUGAGUGGCGUUUCUCCCACUCUCUCUUCCUCCCAUGGUAAUCCCGCGCGCCUCCUCCCACGCACAGCAGCAUCGCCAAAGUGUCCGGGUGUCCGCCUUGUCGCGCCUCGCCUCGCCUCCCCCGCGCCUCGCCUUGUGUUCCGUGUUCCGUGUAAGGCAAUCAAAGCAGUUCCCGGAAUGAGGGCCGAGUCUCCACCACACCGAGCUCUCAGGGCAGAACACAGCGGCAGGCGACACACCCUCCCUCAACGACGGCCGCGGGAGCACUGGUGGUUGGCGAGGCAGGAGCUGAACUGUACCUCUCCCGGCUGAUUCGAGAGCUUCAUCCUGCUCUUCACACACACACACACACACACACACACACACACACACACACACACACACACACACACACACGGUAUCAUUGCAGUGGCCGCAUGAGUGACGUCACCAGCCAAUCACCAGUCACCAAUCAGCCUGACCCCGUGACCUCCAAUAGGAGACGAGCACUGAUGGAGAGCUGGCCAAUCAGGAGGAAAAGAGGAAGAGGAAAAGGAAGAGGAAGAAGAGGAGGAGAAUGAUAGAGGAGGAG